UGUGACUCUCCACUGUGCUUUCCCUCCAGACUGGCUGCAUCUCAUCUUAGCCAGCCCUGGUACCACGUGGGAUUGCUCGCUGGAGAGCACAAUGGAAGAAUAGAGGCAGUAUGAUAGAGGGACAGCUGCAGUGGUCCCCUCCCAGCUGCAGAGAAUGUUAACCAGUGAACUGCUUGGGGCUCUGUUCACUCCUGCCUCAGGGACGGACUGUUCAACCCAAGCUGUUACUCACAUAAACAGAAAAGUGCUCUGCUGCCUUUCACCCAAGAAUAAUAUCUUCAGAGCUGUCCUCUUGGACACUGAAUACAUACUGGAAGAUGGCGAGUGUUGGGCGAAAAGAAAAACAGACCUAAUUAAACAUAACCUAAGGUAAAGCAAAGUAAUACAUUUGAACUCAAAAAGGAAUAUUUGUUAUUCUUAUCAAUGUUAAAGUGUUCACUUUUUUUUCAAAAUAUGUAUAGAUUAUUACUCCGCCAAGGAGUUUUGUGAUGAUCGACGUACGUUUGUCUGUCUGUAAGCAACAUUACUCAAAAACGGACUAAUGGAUUUGGAUGACAUUUUCAGGGAAGGUCAGAAAUGACACAAGGACCAAUUGAUUAGAUUUUAGCGGUGAUGCGGCUUAUAGUUGGGAUCCAUGGAUUUGUUAAAGAUUUCUGUAUCAUUGCGAGAUAACAGCAUGGCGUCACUGUAACUAUGACAAGUGAUCACUAUGUCAGCUGCCUGCUGACAAUCACGAUUGCGAUCCUACUACAAAUUGACCACUGUAGACUUAUCGGGAUUUAUCCAUUGUAAAUGAUGCAAGGAACAAUUGAUUAAAUUGUGGGGGUGUUUCCAAGUCCCAUCAAUUCCAGCCACCCGCUACAUAUUUCUGUCACGUGAUUCGUAAAAAACAUACCGUACUUACCGUACUGUAAGCCGCUACUUUUUUCGAAUGGUUUGAACCCUGCGGCUUAUACAACGAUGCGGCUAAUGUAUAGAUUUUUAUGGGCGAGCUUCAUGCCGUCAAUUCGUUUAGCCUCAUCACAGCAGAAUGAAAUUACCGAACAACUCAUGGUGGACCAAUGAAAUUAUUCAAAUGAAAUCAAACACACUCACACUAAAUUCUUCAGAUCAGUCAUUUUGUGCUUCAUGCACACACCCUCAUCAAAGAAGGAAAUAGAGCUGCUGCGCGUACGCUUGGCAUCAAUGAAUCGAUGGUGGGAUGAUGGAGUCAUCAGCGUGAACUGACUUAAUGUGUUUUACUGCCGUGUUACAGGCAUUGUUUGGAAAAAAGCACUUAUUUAAUUAAAAGUUAAAAAAAUGUUUCUGUGUAAAUAUCUCGUGUUACAACAUGGACACCUGCAGCUUAUAGUGAGGUGCAGCUUAUAUAUGUACAAAACUUUUUUCUUUUUAAAAUUAGUGGGCACGGCUUAUAUUCAGGUGUGCUCAAUAGUCCAGAAAUUAUGAUACACAUGCAAAACACGCGUUGGGUUAGUGCAAGGUUAUUUUGUUUUUGGGUACAUCUAUAUUAAAUGGUCACAUUCUAUGUUGCCGUGAUUUCGGAUCAUCAAUAAUUAAUAAACAAAUGCUGCAUUUCUAAAAAAAAAAAAUGCAUUUCUGACAAUGCCAUAUGGGGGAAUAAACAGCCUUGGUGAGUACUGUGCUGUCUGAGGGCUUUUUUAGAUUUCUUAAUAAAUCAUUUAUUUUUUUGGUCUGUGAAGUAUCUGAUGUCUGCUGCCAAAUUUCCUAGAUGAAAAGCUGAAACUGUCAAAGUUUUGCUUGAUUUGAUCUUUGGACAUUGAAGAUGCUGUAUGCAACAUUUAGGACCAGUGGAUAUUGCUAAAUUACCAGUGUCUUAGAUCAAAUUGGCCCCAUGUACCUCGUCCUUUUGUGUUUCAUUUAAUUUCCGAUGUCCGUUAUGUACACCCUUGUGAACAUAAAAUAACUGAACCACAACAAUUAGCUCAUGUUAGCAUUGUAAAGCACAUUGUGUCGCCACAACAAGUUGUUGUCUACUCAGAUAAAAUUAUCUUCACCUGUCUCAUCUUUGUGCUGCUCUGUGGACAUAGUGGAACAGAGGACAAAAGCCAAACAGUAGCAAACGAUGCUAUAAAAUGAAACUACAUUAACAUAAAUAUAAUAAUUUUUUUCAAUCUUUGAUUUUUGGGGACUGGGCUGAUUACAGAACUUCUACUUAUGUAAUGUAGGUAGUAUCAACAGUUUCAAAGGGAAGGACUCACAUGGACUAACAUGUUUGCAAAGCUGCACUCACUGGAAAAACAUCAACAUUGCUACUCGGGAUGUAACGAUUACCGGUUAAAAUGAUAAACCGCGGUAAAAUGUCUGACGGUUAGUACUACCGUUUCAAAUUUUAAUUACCGUUAAACCGUGUUUGAUUGCCACAAUCCGGAAAAUCUCAGGAAUAGGCCUACUACUAUUGUGAAAAGUGCAGCGGCAGGCAGCCGAUUGGAUACAUGCGCCCCGCGCGCAUUGCGCACUGCAUAGUAAACAACUCGUAAAUAUGGCGGAGGACACCGGCAGUGGAGAGAUUUUUCCACCGUCCAAACGUACCAAGUCCGAAGUCUGGGCGUACUUCGGAUUUUAUAAAGACGCGCAAGGGAGACUGGUGGAAGAAAGCAACCCAGUCUGCCGAAAAUACCACAAGAAAAUAUCGGCAAAGGGUGGAAACACGUCCAACAUGCUGGCUCAUCUACGGGACCCGCAACUGUGCAGCGAGUUAAAGAGAGGGCGUGUAGUGGACAGAACCGGGACAAGUCCUCCAACAGCUUCUACCUCUUCGGUCACAGUGGCACAAACAAUAACCCAGGCGUUUGAAAAGAAGGCUGCUUAUGCACCAACAUCGAAACAUGCCAAAGACCUCACAGCAGCUAUCUCAUAUUUUAUUGCAAAAGACAUGAUGCCAUUUCAAACUGUUGAGAGGCCUGGAUUUUUGAAGCUGAUGAAGGUUGCUGUGCCUCACUAUAAAGUUCCUUCACAAAAUCAUUUUUACUUUGUUUUAUAUAGUAGUGUUAUUGUAUUAUAUUAUAUUUGUAAGACUAGAUCUUUCCGAGCACUGAAUGUGAAGAUAGUUACAAUUUGCACAAUAUAAAGAAUGUAAUUUUAUUUAAAUUGUAUUUAUUUGUUAAUCUUUAUGAGGCAGUGGCACCUUACUUUUUUGUUGUACUUUGUUAUUCCUAAUGUUGCUUUCAAGCAAACGGACUACCUCCUGGCUCUUUUAAGGUCCCCUCUUUAAUUUUUUAAGCUUAUUAAUAUGUUAUUUAAGGUUUAAGCUCAUAUUUUGAUUGGUUUUUCAAAAAUAAAAACGUUGUUCAUUGA
This is a long non-coding RNA of Acanthochromis polyacanthus (spiny chromis), 3315 nucleotides long. RefSeq lists it as uncharacterized. The record is from RefSeq and is a predicted model, not a curated record. NCBI's taxonomy places the organism in Eukaryota, Metazoa, Chordata, Actinopteri, Pomacentridae. The transcript has 2 exons.